CUUCGGGGUGAGUGGCAUACGGGUGAGUAACGCGUGGGAACGUGCCCUUCAGUUCGGAAUAACCCAGGGAAACUUGGGCUAAUACCGGAUACGUGCGAGAGCAGAAAGAUUUAUCGCUGAAGGAUCGGCCCGCGUCUGAUUAGCUAGUUGGUGGGGUAAUGGCCCACCAAGGCGACGAUCAGUAGCUGGUCUGAGAGGAUGAUCAGCCACAUUGGGACUGAGACACGGCCCAAACUCCUACGGGAGGCAGCAGUGGGGAAUAUUGGACAAUGGGCGCAAGCCUGAUCCAGCCAUGCCGCGUGAGUGAUGAAGGCCUUAGGGUUGUAAAGCUCUUUCGUCCGGGACGAUAAUGACGGUACCGGAAGAAGAAGCCCCGGCUAACUUCGUGCCAGCAGCCGCGGUAAUACGAAGGGGGCUAGCGUUGUUCGGAAUCACUGGGCGUAAAGGGCGCGUAGGCGGCUUUAUAAGUCGGGGGUGAAAGCCUGUGGCUCAACCACAGAAUUGCCUUCGAUACUGUAUGGCUUGAGACCGGAAGAGGUUAGUGGAACUGCGAGUGUAGAGGUGAAAUUCGUAGAUAUUCGCAAGAACACCAGUGGCGAA
Molecule: ribosomal RNA, 600 nt
Filed under: Microvirga sp.
Lineage: Bacteria; Pseudomonadati; Pseudomonadota; Alphaproteobacteria; Hyphomicrobiales; Methylobacteriaceae
Description: bacterial SSU rRNA
Rfam family: Bacterial small subunit ribosomal RNA
Source: RNAcentral